This 484-nucleotide ribosomal RNA is filed under the name uncultured bacterium. RNAcentral's name for it is "partial 16S ribosomal RNA". It matches the Rfam family "Bacterial small subunit ribosomal RNA", at positions 30 to 507 of the family's 1533-position model. The record is from RNAcentral.
AUUGAACGCUGGCGGCAGGCCUAACACAUGCAAGUCGAGCGGAUGAAGGGAGCUUGCUCCUGGAUUCAGCGGCGGACGGGUGAGUAAUGCCUAUGAAUCUGCCUGGUAGUGGGGGAUAACGUCCGGAAACGGGCGCUAAUACCGCAUACGUCCUGAGGGAGAAAGUGGGGGAUCUUCGGACCUCACGCUAUCAGAUGAGCCUAGUUCGGAUUAGCUAGUUGGUGGGGUAAAGGCCUACCAAGGCGACGAUCCGUAACUGGUCUGAGAGGAUGAUCAGUCAAACUGGAACUGAGACACGGUCCAGACUCCUACGGGAGGCAGCAGUGGGGAAUAUUGGACAAUGGGCGAAAGCAUGAUCCAGCCAUGCCGCGUGUGUGAAGAAGGUCUUCGGAUUGUAAAGCACUUUAAGUUGGGAGGAAGGGCAGUAAGUUAAUACCUUGCUGUUUUGACGUUACCAACAGAAUAAGCACCGGCUAACUUCGUG